RNAcentral lists this ribosomal RNA (403 nucleotides) under uncultured bacterium. RNAcentral's name for it is "bacterial SSU rRNA". It matches the Rfam family "Bacterial small subunit ribosomal RNA", at positions 355 to 776 of the family's 1533-position model. The record is from RNAcentral.
UGGGGAAUAUUGCACAAUGGAGGGAACUCUGAUGCAGCGACGCCGCGUGAGUGAUGAAGGCUUUCGAGUCGUAAAACUCUGUCCUUGGGGACGAUAAUGACGGUACCCAAGGAGGAAGCCCCGGCUAACUACGUGCCAGCAGCCGCGGUAAUACGUAGGGGGCGAGCGUUGUCCGGAAUUAUUGGGCGUAAAGGGUUCGCAGGCGGCCGAUUAAGUCAGAUGUGAAAUCCCACGGCUUAACCGUGGUAAGCAUUUGAAACUGAUUGGCUUGAGUUAAGGAGAGGAAAGUGGAAUUCCUAGUGUAGCGGUGAAAUGCGUAGAUAUUAGGAGGAAUACCAGUGGCGAAGGCGACUUUCUGGACUUAUACUGACGCUGAGGAACGAAAGCGUGGGGAGCAAACAGG